GGACGAACGCUGGCGGCGUGCUUAACACAUGCAAGUCGAACGGGAGUAUUGAAGAAGCUUGCUUUAGAGAUACUUUAGUGGCGGACGGGUGAGUAACGCGUGAGGAGCUGUCCUAUGCAGGGGGACAACAGCUGGAAACGGCUGCUAAUACCCCAUAAGCCGAGAGGUAAAAGGAUCAAUCCGGCAGAGGAGGUACUCGCGUCCUAUCAGCUAGUAGGUGAGGUAACGGCUCACCUAGGCGAAGACGGGUAGCCGGCCUGAGAGGGCGAACGGCCACACUGGAACUGAGAUACGGUCCAGACUCCUACGGGAGGCAGCAGUAGGGAAUAUUAGUAAUGGGCGAAAGCCUGAACUAGCAACGCCGCGUGUGCGAAGAAGGCCUUCGGGUCGUAAAGCACUUUUUGAGAGGAUGAGGAAGGACGGUACUCUCAGAAUAAGUCUCGGCUAACUACGUGCCAGCAGCCGCGGUAACACGUAGGAGGCAAACGUUAUCCGGAUUUACUGGGCGUAAAGCGCGUGUAGGUGGUUUGGUAAGUAGGGCGUGAAAGCUCCUGGCUCAACUGGGAGAGGACGUUCUAAACUGCCAAGCUUGAGGAUGGUAGAGGGAGGUGGAAUUCCGGGUGUAGCGGUGGAAUGCGCAGAUAUCCGGAGGAACACCAGUGGCGAAGGCGGCCUCCUGGACCACUCCUGACACUCAGACGCGAAAGCUAGGGUAGCAAACGGGAUUAGAGACCCCGGUAGUCCUAGCCCUAAACGAUGUAGACUUGGCGUCGGUGGUUUAAUCGCCAUCGGUGUCGUAGCUAACGCGAUAAGUCUACCGCCUGGGGACUACGGCCGCAAGGUUAAAACUAAAAGGAAUUGACGGGUCCCCGCACAAGCAGCGGAGCGUGUGGUUUAAUUCGAUGCUACACGAAGAACCUUACCUGGGUUUGACAUAGAGGUAGUAGGGAAGCGAAAGCGGACCGACCCUUCGGGGAGCCUCUACAGGUGUUGCAUGGCUGUCGUCAGCUCGUGUCGUGAGAUGUUCGGUUAAGUCCGCUAACGAGCGCAACCCUCGCUGUGUGUUACAAGUGUCACACGGUACUGCCGAUAUUAAGUCGGAGGAAGGUGGGGAUGACGUCAAGUCAGCAUGACCUUUAUAUCCAGGGCUACACACACGCUACAAUGGCCAGUACAAUGGGUUGCCAAGCCGCGAGGCGGAGCCAAUCCUAAAAAGCUGGCCUCAGUUCAGAUUGCAGUCUGCAACUCGACUGCAUGAAGUUGGAGUUGCUAGUAACCGCAGGUCAGCAAUACUGCGGUGAAUACGUUCCCGGGGAU
This 1317-nucleotide ribosomal RNA is filed under the name uncultured bacterium. RNAcentral describes it as "bacterial SSU rRNA". It matches the Rfam family "Bacterial small subunit ribosomal RNA", at positions 27 to 1381 of the family's 1533-position model. The record is from RNAcentral.